GGAGGAAAGCAGGGGAUCGCAAGACCUUGCGCUUUUGGAGUGGCCGAUGCCUGAUUAGCUAGUUGGUAGGGUAAUGGCUUACCAAGGCGACGAUCAGUAGUUGGUCUGAGAGGACGACCAGCCACACUGGGACUGAGACACGGCCCAGACUCCUACGGGAGGCAGCAGUGGGGAAUUUUGGACAAUGGGCGAAAGCCUGAUCCAGCAAUGCCGCGUGAGUGAAGAAGGCCUUCGGGUUGUAAAGCUCUUUCAGUCGAGAAGAAAAGGUUGUGACUAAUAAUCACAACUCAUGACGGUAUCGACAGAAGAAGCACCGGCUAACUACGUGCCAGCAGCCGCGGUAAUACGUAGGGUGCGAGCGUUAAUCGGAAUUACUGGGCGUAAAGGGUGCGCAGGCGGCUUUGUAAGUCAGAUGUGAAAUCCCCGGGCUUAACCUGGGAAUUGCGUUUGAAACUACAAAGCUAGA
RNAcentral lists this ribosomal RNA (466 nucleotides) under uncultured ammonia-oxidizing beta proteobacterium. RNAcentral describes it as "bacterial SSU rRNA". It matches the Rfam family "Bacterial small subunit ribosomal RNA", at positions 198 to 645 of the family's 1533-position model. Lineage: Bacteria; Pseudomonadati; Pseudomonadota; Betaproteobacteria. The record is from RNAcentral.